Hypomesus transpacificus is the source of this 513-nucleotide RNA transcript. It is a transcript of the gene named oligosaccharyltransferase complex subunit 4 (non-catalytic), with no coding region annotated. The record is from RefSeq and is a predicted model, not a curated record. The transcript is spliced from 4 exons. NCBI's taxonomy places the organism in Eukaryota, Metazoa, Chordata, Actinopteri, Osmeriformes, Osmeridae.
AGAAAGACUAACUUUCAAUCAAUUUGGUAAAAAAAAAAAGAAGAAGAAAAUCGUUGUGAACGAAGUUACGUGACGUGGCUUUCCAGCAGCGGAAGAGGUUCGCAUCUGAUCUGAAAGCUGACAGAAGCAGACCCUGCUUAACCAUUUGAAUUUAUUUUGUACAGCAGCCAAUAAAAAAGAACAAGGAUGGUUACAGACGUUCAGCUGGCAAUAUUCGCCAACAUGCUUGGCGUAUCGUUGUUCCUGCUUGUCGUGUUGUAUCACUACGUUGCCGUCAACAAUCCCAAGAAGCUGGAGUAGAUUCCCUUCCCCCUUCCCCCUCCUGGUAAUAAUGAAGGGGUGUGUGUAUGAGAGAUUGGGGCCAGGCCUACCCUGAAAAUCCUUGGUGCCACUUGCAAGAAUAUUCCAGCUUUCUCUACCCAUACACCACCUGUCAUCCCUUCCUACUUUUCCACAUAGACGUAAUUCCCCGUAUGUACAGGAGUGCUUUCUAAUAAAAAUGUGUGUGAAUCA